AGAAAAUUCACAAAAACAAGUUAUAUAAUAAGAGUUUCUUCCUGUUUUACAAUUAAAUUCCUUUUCAUCAUAUCUUCCAGGAAUGAUAAAAAUACUGUUAAGUCACUGAUUUUCCACGUUACAUCAAUUCAUCAUCACAUGUAUUUCCAUACAUACUGCAGAUUUUGUGGUAACUGUAGAUGAAAAUAAUUUUGAAUAAAAACAAAUUUUUAGUCAUUCAAAUAAUAUUUGUUAUUGCUGAGGACUACUUACAACUAAUCCGGGAUAACCAAUAGUCUAGAGACUAAGUUGAAAUAUGCUAACUUUAGAAAAAAAUUGUGAAUUUUAUCAUAAACUAAAUAUGGCAUUUUUAAAUUUAAAUACAAAAUAAUAUAUUUAAUCACAAUGUUUCAUUUUGUUUAAGUGUUGUCUUUUUAUAAUAUAAAUUAUAUAUAAUUUAUAUUGGCCAUUAAUGAGUAAUGAGCUGAAAAUCCCAUUCUGUUGCAAUUAUAUAAUAAGUCAUGUCUCCAGCAAAACAUUUUUUAGAAGUUCAUUUAGGACAUUGGUGAGGAAAUCAGAGUACUUCACUCCAUUUAAAAGCUUGUCAAAGAAGUAAGAUCUGAAUACUUGAUGUUCAAUGAGACCAUAUUAGGUAUUGAGGGGCCAUCUGUUUGUUGUCAACCUCUCUCAGCUAAUGUGGAUUUUUAGAUGACCAAAAUGCGCAUUAGAGAUCUCUUCAUUGCUUUUGAAUGUAGCUGCAUCUAUCAGUCCAGAGAAUUCAAUGAUGGAAACUAUGUAUUUUAUUCAGCAACCAAUUGCAGAAAAUCAUACAGUUCUAAAGGUCAUUAUCACCAAGGUAUUGUUGCAGAUGGAUGGUAUGGAUGCAAACCAUACCCUUCAGAAUUCUUUAUAUUGUCAUGUGAUCUAAACCAAAAUCUGUUAAGUCUCCUAGUGGAAAAGGAUUUGUAAUUACAGCAAUAAAGACAUCAGCUUUUCUGUUGUCUUUUACAGGCUGUCUGAUCUGUUUAUUUCAAUUAUGAAUUGACUGAACUUGGGAGUUCUACUUAUGUAAGUUGACAGAUGCUUUGUGAAUGAUGGAUGCAUUGCAGAUAUUUCUCAGCAUAAAGAUGUUCAGCAAAUUCUAUAAUUCUGAUGACAUUUACUCAACAUCAUCAGCAUAUCAAAAACUUCUUUGUGAAUUGACAUGAUUAUAACAAAAAAAAAAAUUAAGAAAAAGUUGAAUUAAACAGCAAAAGUCAAUGAUUACCAAAUAAAGAUAGACAAAAACUAAUAUUUAGAAAGUAGGAACAGAUUAUACUUAAUGAUUUGUUCUAGAACACUAUAAUGACAUCUAAGGACUUUCAAAGAAAAUGCAAGGCCUGGGACAACUAAUAUUUUUGAUGCACUUCAAAAAAAAUAAAGACAAAAUUGACAAAUAUACAGUGGUAAACGUACAAGUAAGAGGAAAACAUUGAUAAAG
RNAcentral lists this long non-coding RNA (1459 nucleotides) under Androctonus crassicauda. Lineage: Eukaryota; Metazoa; Arthropoda; Arachnida; Scorpiones; Buthidae. The record is from RNAcentral.